Molecule: ribosomal RNA, 2901 nt
Filed under: Klebsiella pneumoniae
Lineage: Bacteria; Pseudomonadati; Pseudomonadota; Gammaproteobacteria; Enterobacterales; Enterobacteriaceae
Description: 23S ribosomal RNA
Rfam family: Bacterial large subunit ribosomal RNA
Source: RNAcentral
UUAAGCGACUAAGCGUACACGGUGGAUGCCCUGGCAGUCAGAGGCGAUGAAGGACGUGCUAAUCUGCGAAAAGCGUCGGUAAGGUGAUAUGAACCGUUAUAACCGGCGAUGUCCGAAUGGGGGAAACCCAGUGUGAUUCGUCACACUAUCGUUAACUGAAUACAUAGGUUAACGAGGCGAACCGGGGGAACUGAAACAUCUAAGUACCCCGAGGAAAAGAAAUCAACCGAGAUUCCCCCAGUAGCGGCGAGCGAACGGGGAGCAGCCCAGAGUCUGAAUCAGCUUGUGUGUUAGUGGAACGGUCUGGAAAGUCCGACGGUACAGGGUGAUAGUCCCGUACACCAAAAUGCACAGGUUGUGAACUCGAAGAGUAGGGCGGGACACGUGGUAUCCUGUCUGAAUAUGGGGGGACCAUCCUCCAAGGCUAAAUACUCCUGACUGACCGAUAGUGAACCAGUACCGUGAGGGAAAGGCGAAAAGAACCCCGGCGAGGGGAGUGAAAAAGAACCUGAAACCGUGUACGUACAAGCAGUGGGAGCACCUUCGGGUGUGACUGCGUACCUUUUGUAUAAUGGGUCAGCGACUUAUAUUCUGUAGCAAGGUUAACCGUAUAGGGGAGCCGCAGGGAAACCGAGUCUUAACUGGGCGUUAAGUUGCAGGGUAUAGACCCGAAACCCGGUGAUCUAGCCAUGGGCAGGUUGAAGGUUGGGUAACACUAACUGGAGGACCGAACCGACUAAUGUUGAAAAAUUAGCGGAUGACUUGUGGCUGGGGGUGAAAGGCCAAUCAAACCGGGAGAUAGCUGGUUCUCCCCGAAAGCUAUUUAGGUAGCGCCUCGUGAAUUCAUCUUCGGGGGUAGAGCACUGUUUCGGCUAGGGGGUCAUCCCGACUUACCAACCCGAUGCAAACUACGAAUACCGAAGAAUGUUAUCACGGGAGACACACGGCGGGUGCUAACGUCCGUCGUGAAGAGGGAAACAACCCAGACCGCCAGCUAAGGUCCCAAAGUCAUGGUUAAGUGGGAAACGAUGUGGGAAGGCACAGACAGCCAGGAUGUUGGCUUAGAAGCAGCCAUCAUUUAAAGAAAGCGUAAUAGCUCACUGGUCGAGUCGGCCUGCGCGGAAGAUGUAACGGGGCUAAACCAUGCACCGAAGCUGCGGCAGCGACACUAUGUGUUGUUGGGUAGGGGAGCGUUCUGUAAGCCUGCGAAGGUGACCUGUGAGGGUUGCUGGAGGUAUCAGAAGUGCGAAUGCUGACAUAAGUAACGAUAAAGCGGGUGAAAAGCCCGCUCGCCGGAAGACCAAGGGUUCCUGUCCAACGUUAAUCGGGGCAGGGUGAGUCGACCCCUAAGGCGAGGCCGAAAGGCGUAGUCGAUGGGAAACAGGUUAAUAUUCCUGUACUUGGUGUUACUGCGAAGGGGGGACGGAGAAGGCUAUGUUAGCCGGGCGACGGUUGUCCCGGUUUAAGCAUGUAGGCUGAUUGUCCAGGCAAAUCCGGAUAAUCAAGGCUGAGGUGUGAUGACGAGGCACUACGGUGCUGAAGUAACAAAUGCCCUGCUUCCAGGAAAAGCCUCUAAGCAUCAGGUAACAUCAAAUCGUACCCCAAACCGACACAGGUGGUCAGGUAGAGAAUACCAAGGCGCUUGAGAGAACUCGGGUGAAGGAACUAGGCAAAAUGGUGCCGUAACUUCGGGAGAAGGCACGCUGGUGUGUAGGUGAAGCCCCUGCGGGUGGAGCUGAGACCAGUCGAAGAUACCAGCUGGCUGCAACUGUUUAUUAAAAACACAGCACUGUGCAAACACGAAAGUGGACGUAUACGGUGUGACGCCUGCCCGGUGCCGGAAGGUUAAUUGAUGGGGUUAUCCGUAAGGAGAAGCUCUUGAUCGAAGCCCCGGUAAACGGCGGCCGUAACUAUAACGGUCCUAAGGUAGCGAAAUUCCUUGUCGGGUAAGUUCCGACCUGCACGAAUGGCGUAAUGAUGGCCAGGCUGUCUCCACCCGAGACUCAGUGAAAUUGAACUCGCUGUGAAGAUGCAGUGUACCCGCGGCAAGACGGAAAGACCCCGUGAACCUUUACUAUAGCUUGACACUGAACAUUGAGCCUUGAUGUGUAGGAUAGGUGGGAGGCUUUGAAGCGUGGACGCCAGUCUGCGUGGAGCCAACCUUGAAAUACCACCCUUUAAUGUUUGAUGUUCUAACGUUGGCCCCUUACCGGGGUUGCGGACAGUGUCUGGUGGGUAGUUUGACUGGGGCGGUCUCCUCCCAAAGCGUAACGGAGGAGCACGAAGGUUAGCUAAUCCUGGUCGGACAUCAGGAGGUUAGUGCAAUGGCAUAAGCUAGCUUGACUGCGAGCGUGACGGCGCGAGCAGGUGCGAAAGCAGGUCAUAGUGAUCCGGUGGUUCUGAAUGGAAGGGCCAUCGCUCAACGGAUAAAAGGUACUCCGGGGAUAACAGGCUGAUACCGCCCAAGAGUUCAUAUCGACGGCGGUGUUUGGCACCUCGAUGUCGGCUCAUCACAUCCUGGGGCUGAAGUAGGUCCCAAGGGUAUGGCUGUUCGCCAUUUAAAGUGGUACGCGAGCUGGGUUUAGAACGUCGUGAGACAGUUCGGUCCCUAUCUGCCGUGGGCGCUGGAGAAUUGAGGGGGGCUGCUCCUAGUACGAGAGGACCGGAGUGGACGCAUCACUGGUGUUCGGGUUGUCAUGCCAAUGGCACUGCCCGGUAGCUAAAUGCGGAAGAGAUAAGUGCUGAAAGCAUCUAAGCACGAAACUUGCCCCGAGAUGAGUUCUCCCUGAGACUUUAAGUCUCCUGAAGGAACGUUGAAGACGACGACGUUGAUAGGCCGGGUGUGUAAGCGCAGCGAUGCGUUGAGCUAACCGGUACUAAUGAACCGUGAGGCUUAACCUU